CUACGGGGGGCACCAGUGAGGAAUAUUGCACAAUGGGGGGAACCCUGAUGCAGCAACGCCGCGUGGAGGAUGACGCAUUUCGGUGUGUAAACUCCUUUUAUAUGUCAAGAAAAUGACGGUAGCAUAUGAAUAAGCACCGGCUAACUCCGUGCCAGCAGCCGCGGUAAUACGGAGGGUGCAAGCGUUACUCGGAAUCACUGGGCGUAAAGGACGCGUAGGCGGGUUGGAAAGUCAGGUGUGAAAUCCUACAGCUUAACUGUAGAACUGCAAUUGAAACUUCUAAUCUAGAGUAUGGGAGGGGGUGGUGGAAUUAGUGGUGUAGGGGUAAAAUCCGUAGAUAUCACUAGGAAUACCUAAAGCGAAGGCGAUCUCCUGGAUCAUUACUGACGCUAAGGCGUGAAAGCGUGGGGAGCAAACAGGAUUAGAUACCCCAGUAGUC
This 439-nucleotide ribosomal RNA is filed under the name uncultured bacterium. RNAcentral describes it as "partial 16S ribosomal RNA". It matches the Rfam family "Bacterial small subunit ribosomal RNA", at positions 339 to 795 of the family's 1533-position model. The record is from RNAcentral.